Molecule: ribosomal RNA, 460 nt
Filed under: Pantoea sp. LL86
Lineage: Bacteria; Pseudomonadati; Pseudomonadota; Gammaproteobacteria; Enterobacterales; Erwiniaceae
Description: partial 16S ribosomal RNA
Rfam family: Bacterial small subunit ribosomal RNA
Source: RNAcentral
UGGGGCAGCUACCAUGCAGUCGGACGGUAGCACAGAGAACUUGGUCUCGUGUGAGAAGUGUGGGACGGGUGAGUAAUGUGUGGGGAUCUGCCCCAUAUAGGGGGAUAACCCCUGUGAACGGUGGCUAAUACCCCAUAACGUCUCAAGACCAAAAAGGGGGACCUUCUCGCCUCUCUCUAUCUCAUGAACCCCCAUGGGAUUAUCUAUUAUGCGGGGUAAUGGCCCCCCUAUGCGACAAUCCCCCUCUGGGCUGAGAGGAUGACCCCCCCCACUGUAACUGAGACACGGUCCCCACUCCCACAGGAGGCGCCACUGGGGAAUAUUGUGCAAUGUGCGCACGCCUGAUGCGCCCCUGCGCCGUGUAUAAAAAAAGCCUUCUCGUUGUAAAGUACUUUCUCCGCGGAGAAGAGCGACAGGGUUAAUAACCCCGUCUAUUGAGGUUUCCCCCACAAAAAACACC